AGAAUCAACGCUGGCGGCGUGCCUCAGACAUGCAAGUCGAACGCGAAAGUCCCCUUCGGGGGACAAGUAGAGUGGCGCACGGGUGAGUAACACGUAGGUAAUCUACCUUCGGAUGGGGAAUAACAACCGGAAACGGUUGCUAAUACCGCAUAAUGCAGCGGCACCUAAUGGUGACAGUUGUUAAAGCGGGGGAUCGAAAGACCUCGCGUCUGAAGAGGAGCCUGCGGCGAUUAGCUAGGUUGGUAGGGUAACGCCUACCAGGCGACGAUCC
This 271-nucleotide ribosomal RNA is filed under the name uncultured soil bacterium. RNAcentral describes it as "partial 16S ribosomal RNA". It matches the Rfam family "Bacterial small subunit ribosomal RNA", at positions 26 to 282 of the family's 1533-position model. The record is from RNAcentral.